RNAcentral lists this ribosomal RNA (791 nucleotides) under uncultured bacterium. Its description in RNAcentral is "bacterial SSU rRNA". It matches the Rfam family "Bacterial small subunit ribosomal RNA", at positions 97 to 891 of the family's 1533-position model. The record is from RNAcentral.
GGCGCACGGGUGCGUAACGCGUAUGCAAUCUACCUUUUACAGGGGAAUAGCCCAGAGAAAUUUGGAUUAAUGCCCCAUGGUAUUACGACUUGGCAUCAAGAUGUAAUUAAAGUUCCAACGGUAAAAGAUGAGCAUGCGUCCCAUUAGUUAGUUGGUAAGGUAACGGCUUACCAAGACUAUGAUGGGUAGGGGUCCUGAGAGGGAGAUCCCCCACACUGGUACUGAGACACGGACCAGACUCCUACGGGAGGCAGCAGUGAGGAAUAUUGGACAAUGGGCGCAAGCCUGAUCCAGCCAUGCCGCGUGCAGGAAGAAGCAUCUAUGGUGUGUAAACUGCUUUUGUACGGGAAGAAACACUCCUUCGUGAAGGAGCUUGACGGUACCGUAAGAAUAAGGAUCGGCUAACUCCGUGCCAGCAGCCGCGGUAAUACGGAGGAUCCAAGCGUUAUCCGGAAUCAUUGGGUUUAAAGGGUCCGUAGGCGGUUUUGUAAGUCAGUGGUGAAAUCUGGUCGCUCAACGAUCAAACGGCCAUUGAUACUGCAAGACUUGAAUUAUUGUGAAGUAACUAGAAUAUGUAGUGUAGCGGUGAAAUGCUUAGAUAUUACAUGGAAUACCAAUUGCGAAGGCAGGUUACUAACAGUGGAUUGACGCUGAUGGACGAAAGCGUGNGGAGCGAACAGGAUUAGAUACCCUGGUAGUCCACGCCGUAAACGAUGGAUACUAGCUGUUGGGGGCAACCUCAGUGGCUAAGCGAAAGUGAUAAGUAUCCCACCUGGGGAGUACGUUCGCAA